CCUACGGGAGGCAGCAGUGAGGAAUAUUGGUCAAUGGCCGUAAGGCUGAACCAGCCAAGUCGCGUGAAGGAAGAAGGAUCUCUGGUUUGUAAACUUCUUUUAUAGGGGAAUAAAGGUAUCCACGUGUGGAUCUUUGCAUGUACCCUAUGAAUAAGCAUCGGCUAACUCCGGUCCAGCAGCCGCGGUAAUCCGGAGGAUGCGAGCGUUAUCCGGAUUUAUUGGGUUUAAAGGGUGCGUAGGUUGUUGUUGAAGUCAGCGGUGAAAGUUUGUGGCUCAACCAUAAAAUUGCCGUUGAAACUGGAAGACUUGAGUGUGUUUGAGGUAGGCGGAAUGCGUGGUGUAGCGGUGAAAUGCAUAGAUAUCACGCAGAACUCCGAUUGCGAAGGCAGCUUACUAAGCCAUAACUGACACUGAAGCACGAAAGCGUGGGGAUCAAACAGGAUUAGAUACCCUGGUAGUC
Molecule: ribosomal RNA, 460 nt
Filed under: uncultured bacterium
Lineage: Bacteria
Description: partial 16S ribosomal RNA
Rfam family: Bacterial small subunit ribosomal RNA
Source: RNAcentral